GUGCCAGCCGCCGCGGUAACACGUAGGGGGCAAGCGUUGUUCGGAAUUAUUGGGCGUAAAGGGCAUGUAGGCGGUUUUGUAAGCCUGGUGUGAAAUCCUGCAGCUUAACUGUAGAAUUGCAUCGGGUACUGCAAGACUUGAAUCACAGAGGGGAAACUAGAAUUCCAGGUGUAGGGGUGGAAUCUGUAGAUAUCUGGAAGAAUACCGGUGGCGAAGGCGGGUUUCUAGCUGAUGAUUGACGCUGAGGUGCGAAAGUGCGGGGAGCAAACAGGAUUAGAAACCCGCGUAGUCC
RNAcentral lists this ribosomal RNA (292 nucleotides) under uncultured bacterium. RNAcentral describes it as "partial 16S ribosomal RNA". It matches the Rfam family "Bacterial small subunit ribosomal RNA", at positions 505 to 796 of the family's 1533-position model. The record is from RNAcentral.